Molecule: long non-coding RNA, 1060 nt
Filed under: Monodelphis domestica (gray short-tailed opossum)
Lineage: Eukaryota; Metazoa; Chordata; Mammalia; Didelphimorphia; Didelphidae
Description: lncRNA (ENSMODG00000031426.2)
Source: RNAcentral
AUAGAAGAAAGAAAUUAAAUUAUUUUCUUCUUUAGUUUUAUUUAUUAUAUCAUUUUUACCCUAUUUUAGUUUUUAUACCCUUUUGUUUAUCCUUUGGAAAUAUCCGCUACAUUCUAUUUGGUAUGUUAAAUUUAAAUUUGCAAUUUAUUCAGGUAGUAAUUAGACAUAUGUUACUAUGAGGCAUAUGUGGUUAUCAUUGGACCAUAGAUUUUGAACUAUAAAAGACUUUAUAAGUUAAAGAUUUAUGUCCCCAACCCCAAUUUAGAGAUAAAGAAACUGAGACCAGAUAAAGUAAAUCUUUUGGCUGAAGUUACUCUGCUAGUAAGGGUCUGAGGCAGGAUUUGAACCCAGGUCUUACCAACUCCUACUCUAGUACAAAAUGGUGACUAUCACUACUUAGUUGUUAUUUGUUAAUUAAAUGGUUUUCAAUAUGGUACAAAUAAAGCCACAAGCAUCUGAACUCUGAUGAUUCUAGCAUCCUAGACAUCAUGCCUAGAAGGGAUGUUGAGCCAAAUUCCUCAUUCUGCAAGAGGACAUUGAAGGGAAGUGGUAGCUGAGACUGAAGCUAUGAUCUCUUCAUUCCCUGCCUAAGGCUCAAACCAAGACUCACCAGUCUUUUAGCCUGCAAGAUCUUUGAUGUGAAGCUGAUGGAAAAACCGAUAAGUGGAAUAUGAGGCAAUAUCCAACAAAUGGAAACAUGUCCUGGAGAGUUUCCACCUCCCUGCUUUAGUGAAUUGUUGGGUUGGUACAUAGAGGAGGGAGGAACCUCCACAAACAAUUCUCAAGACAAAGGCAGGAAGGCUGUAGUAAUUACUGAACACCAGAAACCAGAGAAUUGUCAAGUCCUCGAGAUGCAAGGAUGUCCUCAGAUGUCCCCUGGUCCAGCCGCCUCUGCAGUACUGAUGUCUUGGGCAACGCUCCAUCCAGUGGCCAUGUCAGCUCUGCUCGAAUGAUCCGAGAGCCCAUUUUAUUGUUGGGUCUGGUAAAGCCUCCAGAGUCUGAGGAAGAACAGAUCUAUGAAAAAGCCUAUUUUGGUGGCUGAAAUGUCAGGCGUUUCCCG